GGACAUAGCAUCAAAGUGGAGGCUAUUGUAACUGAAGAGAACUGGAAAGUUCCACCGUAGAAGGUAAUAGUCCUGUAAGUGAAACGAGAAGACCACGAGUUAUGAUCCAGAGUACCACGAGACACGUGAAACCUUGUGGGAAGCAGGGAGGACCACCUCCCAAGGCUAAAUACUACCUGAUGACCGAUAGUGAAGCAGUACCGUGAGGGAAAGGUGAAAAGAACCCCGGGAGGGGAGUGAAAUAGAACCUGAAACCGUGUGCCUACAACCGCUCAGAGCCCCUUAUGAGGGUGAUGAGGUGCUUUUUGUAGAACGAGCCAACGAGUUACGGUAUGUAGCAAGGUUAAGUACUUAAGGUACGGAGCCGAAGGGAAACCGAGUCUGAAUAGGGCGACUAGUUGCAUGCCGUAGACCCGAAACCGGGUGACCUAUCCAUGGCCAGGUUGAAGCGAGGGUAAAACCUCGUGGAGGACCGAACCACGUUGCUGUUGAAAAAGCAUGGGAUGAGCUGUGGAUAGCGGAGAAAUUCCAAUCGAACCCGGAGAUAGCUGGUUCUCUCCGAAAUAGCUUUAGGGCUAGCGUCGAGUAUGAGUAGUGGAGGUAGAGCACUGAAUGGGCUAGGGGGCAUAGCGCUUACCGAACCUUAUCAAACUCCGAAUGCCACAUACUUUGAGCUCGGCAGUCAGACUACGAAUGAUAAGAUCCGUGGUCAAAAGGGAAACAGCCCAGAUCGUCAGCUAAGGUCCCAAAGUGUAAGUUAAGUGGGAAAGGAUGUGAGAUUUCUAAGACAACUAGGAUGUUGGCUUAGAAGCAGCCAUUCAUUAAAAGAGUGCGUAAUAGCUCACUAGUCGAGAGAUCUUGCGCCGAAAAUGUAACGGGGCUAAACUUACCACCGAAGCUACGGGCUUGAACUUAGUUCAAGCGGUAGGAGAGCGUCGUAACCGGGCUGAAGUCGUACCGUAAGGAGCGGUGGACUGGUUACGAGUGAGAAUGUUGGCAUCAGUAGCGAGAUGUGGGUGAGAAUCCCACAGGCCGAAAACCUAAGGUUUCCUCAGGAAGGUUCGUCCGCUGAGGGUUAGUCGGGACCUAAGCCGAGGCCGAAAGGCGUAGGUGAUGGACAACUGGUUGAUAUUCCAGUACCACUACCAUCGUUAUUAUCGAUGGCGUGACGCAGGAGGAUAGUGUGUGCUAGCUAUUGGAUGCUAGUCUAAGCGUUUAGGCAGUGAGAGUAGGCAAAUCCGCUCUCAUAAUGCU
This 1254-nucleotide ribosomal RNA is filed under the name Clostridium perfringens. Its description in RNAcentral is "partial 23S ribosomal RNA". It matches the Rfam family "Bacterial large subunit ribosomal RNA", at positions 303 to 1557 of the family's 2925-position model. Lineage: Bacteria; Bacillati; Bacillota; Clostridia; Eubacteriales; Clostridiaceae. The record is from RNAcentral.